RNAcentral lists this ribosomal RNA (433 nucleotides) under uncultured bacterium. Its description in RNAcentral is "partial 16S ribosomal RNA". It matches the Rfam family "Bacterial small subunit ribosomal RNA", at positions 29 to 507 of the family's 1533-position model. The record is from RNAcentral.
AACGAACGCUGGCGGCAUGCCUAACACAUGCAAGUCGAACGAGACCUUCGGGUCUCGUGGCGCACGGGUGCGUCACGCGUGGGAAGCUGCCCUUAGGUUCGGGAUACCUCCCCGAAAGGGGUGAUAAUACCGGAUAAUGUCUUCGGACAAAAGAUUUAGCGCCCUUGGAGGGGCGCGCGUUGGUUUAACUGGUUGGGAGGGUAAAAGCCUAACACGGCGCGGAUCGAGAGCUGGUGUGAGAGGAAGAUCAGCCACUCUGGGAGUGAGACACGGCACAGACUCCUAGGGGAAGGAGCAGUGGAGAAUAUAGCAAAAGGGGCUAGAGCCAGAUCGAGCUAGGGCGUGGGAGUGAUGAAGGCCGGAGGGUUGUACAGCUCUUUUACCCGGGGUGAUAAUGACGGUACCGGAAGAAUAAGCACCGGCUAACUCCGUG